AACGCACCUUGCGCCUCUUGGUAUUCCGAGGGGCAUGCCUGUUUGAGUGUCAUUGAAACCCUCAAGAGGGGAAGCUUUUUGUGGCUUCUUCUUUUGGAAUUGGAGUGUGCUGGCCUUUUAGAAGCCCAGCUCCUCUGAAAUGCAUUAGCGAUGUGACAUCCUCGUGCCAUCACGCUUCUCCAGCAUUGAUAAGUCUCUUUCAUGCUCGAGUGUGUUGUGCUUAGGUGGAAAGUUUUGCUCGCUCACAGACCCCGUUGGGGGGCUUUGCUCCCCCAUGCUUUGACCAAAUUAACCUCAAAUCAGGUAGGAUUACCCGCUGAACUUAA
RNAcentral lists this unclassified non-coding RNA (326 nucleotides) under Ceriporia sp. Its description in RNAcentral is "partial contains 5.8S ribosomal RNA, internal transcribed spacer 2, and large subunit ribosomal RNA". The stretch from base 1 to 52 matches the Rfam family "5.8S ribosomal RNA", at positions 103 to 154 of the family's 154-position model. Lineage: Eukaryota; Fungi; Basidiomycota; Agaricomycetes; Polyporales; Irpicaceae. The record is from RNAcentral.